RNAcentral lists this ribosomal RNA (495 nucleotides) under uncultured bacterium. RNAcentral describes it as "partial 16S ribosomal RNA". It matches the Rfam family "Bacterial small subunit ribosomal RNA", at positions 28 to 507 of the family's 1533-position model. The record is from RNAcentral.
GACGAACGCUGGCGGCGUGCCUAAUGCAUGCAAGUAGUACGCUGAAGGAGGAGCUUGCUUCUCCGGAUGAGUUGCGAACGGGUGAGUAACGCGUAGGUAACCUGCCUGGUAGCGGGGGAUAACUAUUGGAAACGAUAGCUAAUACCGCAUAAGAGUAGAUGUCGCAUGACAUUUGCUUAAAAGGUGCAACUGCACCACUACCAGAUGGACCUGCGUUGUAUUAGCUAGUUGGUGAGGUAACGGCUCACCAAGGCAACGAUACAUAGCCGACCUGAGAGGGUGAUCGGCCACACUGGGACUGAGACACGGCCCAGACUCCUACGGGAGGCAGCAGUAGGGAAUCUUCGGCAAUGGACGGAAGUCUGACCGAGCAACGCCGCGUGAGUGAAGAAGGUUUUCGGAUCGUAAAGCUCUGUUGUAAGAGAAGAACGAGUGUGAGAGUGGAAAGUUCACACUGUGACGGUAUCUUACCAGAAAGGGACGGCUAACUACGUG